UACGUAGGUGGCGAGCGUUGUCCGGAUUUACUGGGCGUAAAGGGCGUGCAGGCGGUUUGUUAAGUGCAGAGUGAAAGCUCCCGGCUCAACUGGGAGAGGUCUUUGCAUACUGGCAAACUCGAGGGAGGCAGAGGAAAGUGGAAUUCCCGGUGUAGUGGUGAUAUGCGUAGAUAUCGGGAGGAACACCUGUGGCGAAGGCGGCUUUCUGGCCUAAUACUGACGCUGAGGUGCGAAAGCAUGGGGAGCAAACAGG
This 253-nucleotide ribosomal RNA is filed under the name uncultured bacterium. RNAcentral describes it as "partial 16S ribosomal RNA". It matches the Rfam family "Bacterial small subunit ribosomal RNA", at positions 524 to 776 of the family's 1533-position model. The record is from RNAcentral.